ACCGCGGCAAAAGCAUCGUGGCUGAUCAGUGAGACCGUGGUAGUGUAGUAGCUUUCCUUUUUGCAUUAGUACACUUAUGUAUUGAGAGAGAUUCAUUGUAGGUGAGGAUUUGGAGGGUUAUGUAUUUUGGAUGAAAGAUGUAUUCAUUUAAAGAAAAUGAUGUAAAUGAAAAGGAUGAACUAUUGUAAUAGUUAGCAAAGUACUCUCUUUAUUUCACAUGUUAUUCCUGUGGAUUUCUUGCUCUUGUAGUUGCUGG
This 256-nucleotide long non-coding RNA is filed under the name Ananas comosus (pineapple). RNAcentral describes it as "long non-coding RNA (ACOM_LNC030538)". The record is from RNAcentral. Lineage: Eukaryota; Viridiplantae; Streptophyta; Magnoliopsida; Poales; Bromeliaceae.